This 5540-nucleotide long non-coding RNA is filed under the name Olea europaea (common olive). Its description in RNAcentral is "long non-coding RNA (OEUR_LNC010028)". Lineage: Eukaryota; Viridiplantae; Streptophyta; Magnoliopsida; Lamiales; Oleaceae. The record is from RNAcentral.
ACAUGCCAUCUCCAGUAUGACAGAAUGGUAAUACAUCUAGAAAACAAUUUGAUUAUCAAGACAAUCAUAGCAUUUUAUUAAAGAGCCCAAAAAAAAGAGGUUCAAUUAUUCAAUAGCCAUGCGAUUUAUUACUUGCCAUCUGCAUGCACACAAAGUAGUGGAAGUUGGAUAACCAUAAAGGGAAUUAAAAGUAAGCAGAUGAAACUGCAUCAAAUAUCGACAAGACUUAAAAACUAGUUUUUUCAACAUAACACGCUGAUAAUUUUCCAUUUUGCUGGUUCAUUUUGGGAGUGGAGUCUUCACAAAUUCCCACGUGGUCUUAUGAAAAGCCUCAUUAGAACUUCUCGACCCCGCUACUUCAUUGAUGGGAACCGCAUCGGUAAUUUCUUUCAAAUCAUCUUUCGUAAGCUUCAAUUUAAGAGAAUCAAUAUUGGAGUGAAGAUUCUUAAUUUUAGUCGUACCUACAAAUGUUAGAAGAUUGAAAGAUAAAUCAAUAAAUCAUCAUUAAAACCGCUGCAAUUCAUGAGAUCAAUGUAAUAUCCACAUUUCAGUCACCAUCCAUUGCAUUACAGCAUCCGCAAAUGAUAACAAUUUUCCAGAGAAAGGCCUACAUAAACUAGUUAUGAAAUAAUCUCACUUCACGAUCCAGAUUUUCAAAUCUUUCUAUCUAGGAAUAAAUGGCCAAUAACUAUAGGGCAUAUAUGCAUAAGAUGAAUCUUGCUAAUUGAUGCUGAAUUAACAAAAAGCUAGCACAAGCAGAUACAUUUUUUUUUCUCUCGUUCUAACCCUUUCCUCUCCCUGGAAGAACAGGGUAAAAAGAAAAGGAAUAUCAUUUUUUUUAUGACCGUGGGUGUUCAAACUAGCUUACGCGCUCCUCGACUAAUCCCACGGGACCCUGAAGUUUAUAGCCGGAUACUCACCUCAGUAGCUUUGAGGGGAUUCGAACGGGUGACUAUUGGGGAGCAAAACCAAGACCUAACCACUAACAUAAAUAGAAAUCUAUGAAGAAAUGUUGGUUUUCAAACCCAUCCCUAAUAAGUGAGGGUACCUGAAAUUCAAGAGGUGCUUAGUGCUUAGCCGUGACAAGUAGUGGUGGUUAUUGGUCUAUUCUAUCACAAAUAAGGGUUCAACUUCUUGUUCAGCAAAUAAUAUGUUUAGAGCAAAGUCUAGAGCACGCCAUUUACUACAAGCAGAUAAACAAAACAGAUCAUAAACUCAAUAGUCAUGAAUUAUGCUUAUAUUCUUCAGGAAAACAUGUUGCCUUACUCUUCACUUAGUCUUGCAUUGUUGAACACUUGUGGGUGAUAUCUGCAUUACAAACAUGAUUUUUGUUCGACUAAUCUAAUUUAGGUGCACUAGCUCUAGAAAUAAAUGUGGUAGCAAAAUUAACACUCCUCACACCUGUCAACAUAGUUGAUAGAGUGGGAUACUCGAGCCAUUGGUUGAGUUCAAUGUGAAGGAAAUAUUUAUCUUGGGAAGCCCAAUUUGCUCAGUUUGAAGGAUAGGAAACCUCAAGAAAUGAAUAGGAGUUGGAGAUCUUUCUCCCGGGGCGGAGCCAAGAUUUUAGUUUAGUGUGAGCAAAAUUUUUUCGACGUCGAAUGUCGAGGUUUUGGUCAUGGAUUUACUGACGAUAAAAAAAUAAAAUAAUAGUACGACAAUACUAAAAACGACAUAAUUUAUAUAUUACACUUGUUCCUUGCGAGUUUUCAUACUCUGUGCGAACCGGCACUGCGACGCCGCGAUAGGGACGAAUUCUCUCACUCGCGGACAAAGAGUUGGAUUGAUUCAAAUGAAUAAAAUGGGUUUGGAUCAAUUGAAUUUUGAGGGAAUGGGUUUAAUAGGACUUCUCUCUCUAGCUGGACAGGGAAGUGGGUUAAAAAAAUAAUAAUAAUAAUAAAUAAAUUCUGCCCAAAUGUCCAGUGACACGCUUUGGCUCCACCCAUUCUUUCUCCUCUCUGUGUGCCUGUUUAUGUUCAGUGGUGGUGGAGAGGCAUGAGUCUAAAAUAGAGACUUUCAAUCUUUUGAGAGAGAAGGAGCUUUAAUUUCCAAAUUCCUUUGCCCAAUACUUAAUGUAACUGAAUUGGCACUGAACUGAUUCAAAUAGGGAGGCCCAGUUAAUUAGUUCAAAUGGCUGUUUCGGCUUUGUCCAUGUCACAAUUCAGUUUCAGUUCCGUUCAUUACUAUAGUUGUAAGCUAAUUAAAACACCCAAAUGCAUGCAUCUCCAAGACGAUUUCUGUUUACAUACUUUUGAAUAUGAAUAUUCUUACACUCUCCUAGAGGAAAGAUAUGUUGUAAUAAGAAUAUAGAGUGAGGUCAGUGUCAAAGUUUUCUAAACAGAUAGUUCAAAUAUCUUUAAUACUCUAUAUUUCCAAUCUCUCAAACAUUGUUUCUACUACAGUACUUAAAGAAAAGCUUCUUAUAUGAUUGGCUUACCUGGAAUAGGAACAACAUCGUCUCCUUGAUGAAGAACCCAUGCAAGCGCUAGUUGAGCAGGAGUGCAUCCAUGCUUCUUAGCCAAUGCUUCUACACGAAAGUAUAAGACUUUAUUCUUAUCAAAGUUCUCUCCCUGAAGUCUUGGGUGAUCUGCCUGAAGGUACAAAAAUGACACUACUUCUCAGCAACUAGAGAUUAUAAAAGCGAAGAAACUACAAAUUGAUCUUUGAUACUAAAGAAGAUAUUACACAUUGAAAAUUUUAAAAGACAUAGAUGCGUACACACCAAUGAGUUAUUUUCCAUGCUUCCCACAACAGCCUUCCCAGCAAAAAACCCUCGACCUAAGGGACUGUAUGGAACUAUUCCAAUCCCAAGUUCUCUAUGAUCCAUUUCCGAAAAGAAAAAAAGAAACACUACAUGAGAUCAUAAUCUUUAAAUAUGAAGGAUGACAAUUAGAAAAAUAACCGACACAAGCUUGAAUUGUAGUAGUGGAAAGAAGAUUAAUCAGAGUAUUGAAGCAUUGAUAGAAAAGAGGGAAAAUACUUAUUGUAUUCUAAUUAAAAGCACAACGUUCAAAACACUAACUGAGACGGUAGUUUUAACCAUUAGUACUGCAAAUUAAAUUCAGGAAGAAAAAUACAAAAACAUGGAAGCAUUAAAAUAGAAUACAGGAGCUCAACAUUGUAAUGUUAAUCCUAGGAGAAAAACGACAUCAAAUAAUUAUGUUGUGCAAAAUUAAUUUCAAAUUCAAACAUCAGCUCUUAAGUUCCUAUUUAGAUAGCAAGUUGCAAAAAUGUUAGCUGAAUAUAAUAUUUUAUGAGUGUUACAACAAAAAUGGGUUGUAAUGCUUCUUUGACUGCAAUAUAUACAAUGUUCUAAUUCUUGAUGGAUGUAGGUUUUGAUAAUUAAGCAACCUUUUAUUUUGAAAGAAUAAUGCUAUUGGCAGUGAAAACUAUCAGCAAUCGUCCUAUGUAGCGUAUACUUAGCAAUUUUUUAUUUGAUGUAUAAUUCAAAAAAUAACUACCAUAUAUAUAUAUAUAUAUCAAAUACCAAAUUGUGAAGUGUAUGCCACAUAGAGCGACUAUUAACAGUCUUCACUACGAAUAGCAUUACUCUUAAAAAAUAUAUAUCUAUAUAUACAUUUCUAAAUAUUGAUUUGACAUCAUUUCAAUCACAAAUUUUUCAAUAAAAUAAUAUUACACAUAAAUUCAAAAAAUUUUCUCAUUUUUUAACCACACAUUCUCUACUAAUCUACUAUUUUAGAAUAUAUUCUUUCAAAAUAAUGUGGCACAAACACUUGAAAUUUACUAAAAAUCUGAUUUUGAUUCCUACCAAACAAGUAUUAAAUAAAUGUAAACAAUGCGUAAUUAGAACGGUUUUGAAGUAAGAAGGGUUCACCAACCUCGCAUAUGAUAUAUCGGGACUAAGCAAGCCCAUUAAUGACCUACAAAGAUCACUGAGGAGGAUCAACAUCGGACUAUUACAAAUGACGAGCUAAUUAUUGUGUCAAGAAGCCCUUGCAUCAUCAUUGCUAUCAAGGAUCAAUCACAAUUUUUGACAAGACAAGACAAAUUACGAUCAACUCGAUCAUGGACAAUUAUAGUCUUCUAAUGCUUUUCUCCACCAAUCAAAAGGUAUCUCGCCAUAUUAUUGACACAACUCCUGAUGCAAAUAUUGUAGCUAGGGUAUUUCAAAUAGCCUAUAAAAGGGAAGGAAGAGAGAAAUAUAUAGAUAAAGAGAGAGAAGAAGAAAUAGAAAGAGAUAUGUUGGAGGCCCAUAUUGGCAACCACAAAAAGGUUAGGUAAGGUGACAAACGGGCUGCGCAUUUCACGAAUUCAACACUUCAUGGCUUGGUUCAUGAACCGUUCGAGUUCGUAUUGAAAAAAGUCAUGAAUCAACACAAGCUCAAUUUUUUGAAUUCAUGGAUCAGCUCAUUUUUUGACUGACUUUAUUUAUUUCUUAAAAAUGCUCUACCUCAUGGGAACCAGCCCAAAAAACGGUGAUGUUGAUGUUUAGCUUGGAUGUGAUCUUAGCCAAAAGCCCCAAAAAAAAAAAAUAAUAAUAAUAAUAAUGUCGCAGAGAAUGUUGAGUGCGUGAAAGAAGUCGCAAUUUAAAAAAAUGAAAAUGACAAAUACAGAGACGAGGAGAGAUAAAUAAAAAGUAAAAAGGAAAAAAGGUAGAAAGAAAAGAAGAAUAUAGGUUAAGACUCAGGGAGAUGGAUGUGUGGCCUAAAAGGUAAAAGCCGACAGAGGUAACGCCAGAGAGAGCAGCUGCGACUGCUGUGCUGGUGAAUGAUUUGCGAUCAAGGUUGCUGAGCCAGGAUGAGUAAUUUUCCUCUUAAGUUGCGAUAUGAUACCAUGUUAAGAUUUACAUUUGCUAUAUGUAUUGACAAUAUUAAUAAUGUUACAUAAAUAGUCAUAAUACAGUUCAAAUCCAAAACAAGAACAAUUAUGCUACAUUAAUCUUCGUGUAAAAUAUACAGAGACUGUGACAAAGAGUCGCCUUAGCUGUCUAAAACUUUAUCACCAACAGGAAGCCACCGAUAUAAUUUCAUGUUUGUAUAAACUCGAAGAACCUGUCAGUGUUAAUUUUUCAUGCUUCUACUUAAUUUAGUACCAUUAGGCAUGUACCUACAAGCUACAUGGCAUCUCCAGUCUGACAGAAUGGUAAUACAUCUAGAAAACAAUUUGAUUAUCAAGACAAUCAUAGCAUUUUAUUAAAGAGCCCAAAAAAAAGAGGUUCAAUUAUUCAAUAGCCAUGCGAUUUAUUACUUGCCAUCUGCAUGCACACAAAGUAGUGGAAGUUGGAUAACCAUAAAGGGAAUUAAAAGUAAGCAGAUGAAACUGCAUCAAAUAUCGACAAGACUUAAAAACUAGUUUUUUCAACAUAACACGCUGAUAAUUUUCCAUUUUGCUGGUUCAUUUUGGGAGUGGAGUCUUCACAAAUUCCCACGUGGUCUUAUGAAAAGCCUCAUUAGAACUUCUCGACCCCGCUACUUCAUUGAUGGGAACCGCAUCGGUAAUUUCUUUCAAAUCAUCUUUCGUAAGCUUCAAUUUAAGAGAAUCAAUAUUGGAGUGAAGAUUCUUAAUUUUAGUCGUACCUACAA